CGCUGCCGCCGCUUCUGCCACGUCCACCGGGCUGAGCCGAGCCGGGAAGCGGCCGGAGGGCGCCAGCACGUGUGCACCGCACUGACGUUCAUUUUCUUCAAGUCUGAGCUGGCUUCUUGGACAAAGCAAGCCUCGGGCACCAAAGGCCCUCUUUGGAUUGUAAGCACUUCGAAACGCAAAGAAGAACCACCACUAGAGGUUUUCACCCAGGAAUCGAGCACAUCAAAAGCAGAAGGGGAAAGCUUGGGCGUCAAGAGACCCAGUUCGCUUGUAUCGUGCGGAGCUUAAUUUUCAGUUUGCUGUUUUGGAGGGAGACAAAAGGCCUGACUAAGAAGGAGAAUGAGGCAGCUUAAAGGGAAGCCCAAAAAAGAGACGUCCAAAGAUAAAAAAGAGAGAAAGCAAGCCAUGCAGGAAGCCCGGCAGCAGGUCACGACGGUGGUGCUCCCGACACUGGCCGUGGUUGUGCU
This 467-nucleotide long non-coding RNA is filed under the name Varanus komodoensis (Komodo dragon). RNAcentral's name for it is "lncRNA (ENSVKKG00000009733.1)". Lineage: Eukaryota; Metazoa; Chordata; Lepidosauria; Squamata; Varanidae. The record is from RNAcentral.